AUUGAACGCUGGCGGCAUGCCUUACACAUGCAAGUCGAACGGACCCUUCGGGGUUAGUGGCGGACGGGUGAGUAACACGUGGGAACGUGCCUUUAGGUUCGGAAUAGCUCCUGGAAACGGGUGGUAAUGCCGAAUGUGCCCUUCGGGGGAAAGAUUUAUCGCCUUUAGAGCGGCCCGCGUCUGAUUAGCUAGUUGGUGAGGUAACGGCUCACCAAGGCGACGAUCAGUAGCUGGUCUGAGAGGAUGACCAGCCACACUGGGACUGAGACACGGCCCAGACUCCUACGGGAGGCAGCAGUGGGGAAUCUUGCGCAAUGGGCGAAAGCCUGACGCAGCCGUGCCGCGUGAAUGAUGAAGGUCUUAGGAUUGUAAAAUUCUUUCACCGGGGACGAUAAUGACGGUACCCGGAGAAGAAGCCCCGGCUAACUUCGUGCCAGCAGCCGCCGUAA
This 449-nucleotide ribosomal RNA is filed under the name uncultured bacterium. Its description in RNAcentral is "partial 16S ribosomal RNA". It matches the Rfam family "Bacterial small subunit ribosomal RNA", at positions 30 to 523 of the family's 1533-position model. The record is from RNAcentral.